Molecule: ribosomal RNA, 433 nt
Filed under: uncultured bacterium
Lineage: Bacteria
Description: partial 16S ribosomal RNA
Rfam family: Bacterial small subunit ribosomal RNA
Source: RNAcentral
AACGAACGCUGGCGGCAUGCCUAACACAUGCAAGUCGAACGAAGCCUUCGGGCUUAGUGGCGCACGGGUGCGUAACGCGUGGGAAUCUGCCCCUUGCUUCGGAAUAACAGUUAGAAAUGACUGCUAAUACCGGAUGAAGUCUUCGGACCAAAGAUUUAUCGGCAAGGGAUGAGCCCGCGUAGGAUUAGGUAGUUGGUGGGGUAAAGGCCUACCAAGCCGACGAUCCUUAGCUGGUCUGAGAGGAUGAUUAGCCACACUGGGACUGAGACACGGCCCAGACUCCUACGGGAGGCAGCAGUGGGGAAUAUUGGACAAUGGACGCAAGUCUGAUCCAGCAAUGCCGCGUGAGUGAUGAAGGCCUUAGGGUUGUAAAGCUCUUUUACCAGGGAUGAUAAUGACAGUACCUGGAGAAUAAGCUCCGGCUAACUCCGUG